GUACUGCUGAGGAGUCCCAUAAUAGGACGAAACGGCCGUCCAGUGU
This is a non-coding RNA of Schistosoma rodhaini, 46 nucleotides long. Lineage: Eukaryota; Metazoa; Platyhelminthes; Trematoda; Strigeidida; Schistosomatidae. The record is from Rfam.